RNAcentral lists this ribosomal RNA (899 nucleotides) under Phlebia sp. RNAcentral's name for it is "eukaryotic LSU rRNA". It matches the Rfam family "Eukaryotic large subunit ribosomal RNA", at positions 77 to 961 of the family's 3401-position model. Lineage: Eukaryota; Fungi; Basidiomycota; Agaricomycetes; Polyporales; Meruliaceae. The record is from RNAcentral.
CCCCUAGUAACCGCGAGUGAAGCUGGAGAAAAGCUCAAAUUUAAAAUCUGGCAGUCUUUGGCUGUCCGAGUUGUAGUCUGGAGAAGCGUUUUCCGCGCUGGACCGUGUACAAGUCUCCUGGAAUGGAGCGUCAUAGAGGGUGAGAAUCCCGUCUUUGACACGGACUACCAGUGCUUUGUGAUGCGCUCUCAAAGAGUCGAGUUGUUUGGGAAUGCAGCUCAAAAUGGGUGGUAAAUUCCAUCUAAAGCUAAAUAUUGGCGAGAGACCGAUAGCGAACAAGUACCGUGAGGGAAAGAUGAAAAGCACUUUGGAAAGAGAGUUAAACAGUACGUGAAAUUGCUGAAAGGGAAACGCUUGAAGUCAGUCGCGUUUGCUAGAACUCAGCCUGGCUUUUGCUUGGUGCAUUUUCUAGUAAACGGGCCAGCAUCAGUUUCGGCUGCGGGAAAAAGGCCAGGGGAAUGUGGCAACUUCGGUUGUGUUAUAGCCCUUGGUCAUAUACCGUGGCUGGGACUGAGGAACUCAGCAUGCCGCAAGGCGGGGCUUCGGCCACCUUCAUGCUUAGGAUGCUGGCGUAAUGGCUUUAAACGACCCGUCUUGAAACACGGACCAAGGAGUCUAACAUGCCUGCGAGUGUUUGGGUGGAAAACCCGAGCGCGUAAUGAAAGUGAUAGUUGGGACCUCUGUCGUGGAGGGCACCGACGCCCGGACCAGACCUUCUGUGACGGAUCCGCGGUAGAGCAUGUAUGUUGGGACCCGAAAGAUGGUGAACUAUGCCUGAAUAGGGUGAAGCCAGAGGAAACUCUGGUGGAGGCUCGUAGCGAUUCUGACGUGCAAAUCGAUCGUCAAAUUUGGGUAUAGGGGCGAAAGACUAAUCGAACCAUCUAGUAGCUGGUUCCUGC